ACGGUAACAGGCCCGGCAACGGGUGCUGACGAGUGGCGCACGGGUGCGUAACACGUAUGCAACCUACCCUUAACCGGGACAUAACACUGAGAAAUUAGUGCUAAUAUUCCAUGGUAUUACGAAGAGGCAUCUUUUUGUAAUUAAAGAUUUAUUGGUUAGGGAUGGGCAUGCGUCCCAUUAGUUAGUUGGAGUGGUAACGGCACACCAAGACGAUGAUGGGUAGGGGUCCUGAGAGGGUUAUCCCCCACACUGGUACUGAGACACGGACCAGACUCCUACGGGAGGCAGCAGUAAGGAAUAUUGGGCAAUGGGCGGGAGCCUGACCCAGCCAUGCCGCGUGCAGGAAGACGGCCCUAUGGGUUGUAAACUGCUUUUGUUUGGGACUAACAGCCGGGUCGUGACCCGGCCUGCAGGUACCGAAUGAAUAAGCAUCGGCUAACUCCGUGCCAGCAGCCGCGGUAAUACGGAGGAUGCGAGCGUUAUCCGGAUUUAUUGGGUUUAAAGGGUGCGUAGGCUGGUAAUUAAGUCAGUGGUGAAAUACUCCGGCUCAACCGGGGGGCUGCCGUUGAUACUGGUUACCUUGAGUUUAGAUGAUGUGGGCGGAAUGUGUCAUGUAGCGGUGAAAUGCAUAGAGAU
RNAcentral lists this ribosomal RNA (636 nucleotides) under uncultured bacterium. RNAcentral describes it as "bacterial SSU rRNA". It matches the Rfam family "Bacterial small subunit ribosomal RNA", at positions 66 to 697 of the family's 1533-position model. The record is from RNAcentral.